GAUGAACGCUGGCGGCGUGCCUAAUACAUGCAAGUCGAGCGAACAGACGAGGAGCUUGCUCCUCUGACGUUAGCGGCGGACGGGUGAGUAACACGUGGAUACCCUACCUAUAAGACUGGGAUAACUUCGGGAAACCGGAUCUAAUACCGGAUAAUAUAUUGAACCGCAUGGUUCAAUAGUGAAAGACGGUUUUGCUGUCACUUAUAGAUGGAUCCGCGCCGCAUUAGCUAGUUGGUAAGGUAACGGCUUACCAAGGCAACGAUGCGUAGCCGACCUGAGAGGGUGAUCGGCCACACUGGAACUGAGACACGGUCCAGACUCCUACGGGAGGCAGCAGUAGGGAAUCUUCCGCAAUGGGCGAAAGCCUGACGGAGCAACGCCGCGUGAGUGAUGAAGGUCUUCGGAUCGUAAAACUCUGUUAUUAGGGAAGAACAAAUGUGUAAGUAACUAUGCACGUCUUGACGGUACCUAAUCAGAAAGCCACGGCUAACUACGUG
This 497-nucleotide ribosomal RNA is filed under the name uncultured bacterium. Its description in RNAcentral is "partial 16S ribosomal RNA". It matches the Rfam family "Bacterial small subunit ribosomal RNA", at positions 28 to 507 of the family's 1533-position model. The record is from RNAcentral.